This 1518-nucleotide ribosomal RNA is filed under the name Cronobacter sakazakii. Its description in RNAcentral is "partial 23S ribosomal RNA". It matches the Rfam family "Bacterial large subunit ribosomal RNA", at positions 711 to 2213 of the family's 2925-position model. Lineage: Bacteria; Pseudomonadati; Pseudomonadota; Gammaproteobacteria; Enterobacterales; Enterobacteriaceae. The record is from RNAcentral.
AGACCCGAAACCCGGUGAUCUAGCCAUGGGCAGGUUGAAGGUUGGGUAACACUAACUGGAGGACCGAACCGACUAAUGUUGAAAAAUUAGCGGAUGACCUGUGGCUGGGGGUGAAAGGCCAAUCAAACCGGGAGAUAGCUGGUUCUCCCCGAAAGCUAUUUAGGUAGCGCCUCGUGAACUCAUCUCCGGGGGUAGAGCACUGUUUCGGCUAGGGGGCCAUCCCGGCUUACCAACCCGAUGCAAACUGCGAAUACCGGAGAAUGUUAUCACGGGAGACACACGGCGGGUGCUAACGUCCGUCGUGAAGAGGGAAACAACCCAGACCGCCAGCUAAGGUCCCAAAGUCAUGGUUAAGUGGGAAACGAUGUGGGAAGGCCCAGACAGCCAGGAUGUUGGCUUAGAAGCAGCCAUCAUUUAAAGAAAGCGUAAUAGCUCACUGGUCGAGUCGGCCUGCGCGGAAGAUGUAACGGGGCUAAACCAUGCACCGAAGCUGCGGCAGCGACACUAUGUGUUGUUGGGUAGGGGAGCGUUCUGUAAGCCUGUGAAGGUGUGCUGUGAGGCAUGCUGGAGGUAUCAGAAGUGCGAAUGCUGACAUAAGUAACGAUAAAGCGGGUGAAAAGCCCGCUCGCCGGAAGACCAAGGGUUCCUGUCCAACGUUAAUCGGGGCAGGGUGAGUCGACCCCUAAGGCGAGGCCGAAAGGCGUAGUCGAUGGGAAACAGGUUAAUAUUCCUGUACUUGGUGUUACUGCGAAGGGGGGACGGAGAAGGCUAUGUCGGCCGGGCGACGGUUGUCCCGGUUUAAGCGUGUAGGCUGACUUUCCAGGCAAAUCCGGAAAGUUAAGGCUGAGGCGUGAUGACGAGGCACCACGGUGCUGAAGUGACAAAUGCCCUGCUUCCAGGAAAAGCCUCUAAGCAUCAGGUAACAUCAAAUCGUACCCCAAACCGACACAGGUGGUCAGGUAGAGAAUACCAAGGCGCUUGAGAGAACUCGGGUGAAGGAACUAGGCAAAAUGGUGCCGUAACUUCGGGAGAAGGCACGCUGACAUGUAGGUGAAGCCCCUGCGGGUGGAGCUGAAGUCAGUCGAAGAUACCAGCUGGCUGCAACUGUUUAUUAAAAACACAGCACUGUGCAAACACGAAAGUGGACGUAUACGGUGUGACGCCUGCCCGGUGCCGGAAGGUUAAUUGAUGGGGUUAUCGCAAGAGAAGCUCCUGAUCGAAGCCCCGGUAAACGGCGGCCGUAACUAUAACGGUCCUAAGGUAGCGAAAUUCCUUGUCGGGUAAGUUCCGACCUGCACGAAUGGCGUAAUGAUGGCCAGGCUGUCUCCACCCGAGACUCAGUGAAAUUGAACUCGCUGUGAAGAUGCAGUGUACCCGCGGCAAGACGGAAAGACCCCGUGAACCUUUACUACAGCUUGACACUGAACAUUGAGCCUUGAUGUGUAGGAUAGGUGGGAGGCUUUGAAGCGUGGACGCCAGUCUGCGUGGAGCCGACCUUGAAAUACCACCCUUUAAUGU